UGGGGAAUAUUGGACAAUGGGCGCAAGCCUGAUCCAGCCACGCCGCGUGAGUGAUGAAGGCCUUCGGGUCGUAAAGCUCUGUGGGGAGAGACGAACCGCCAGGGGUUAAUAGCCGCUUGGCAUGACGGUAUCUCCUUAGCAAGCACCGGCUAACUUCGUGCCAGCAGCCGCGGUAAUACGAAGGGUGCAAACGUUGCUCGGAAUUAUUGGGCGUAAAGCGCACGUAGGCGGUUUUUCAAGUCGGAUGUGAAAGCCCUCGGCUUAACCAAGGAAGUGCAUCCGAAACUGAAAGACUUGAGUACUUAAGAGGAUCGCGGAAUUCCCGGUGUAGAGGUGAAAUUCGUAGAUAUCGGGAGGAACACCAGUGGCGAAGGCGGCGAUCUGGGAAGAUACUGACGCUGAGGUGCGAAAGCGUGGGGAGCAAACA
This 427-nucleotide ribosomal RNA is filed under the name uncultured bacterium. RNAcentral describes it as "bacterial SSU rRNA". It matches the Rfam family "Bacterial small subunit ribosomal RNA", at positions 355 to 774 of the family's 1533-position model. The record is from RNAcentral.